GGAUGGGAGGGCGAUCUGGCUGUGACAUCUGUCACCCCAUUGAUCGCCAGGGUUGAUUUGGCUGAUCUGGCUGGCCAGGCGGGUGUCCCCUUCCUCCCUCACCACUCCAUGUGCAUCCCUCCCGAAGCUGCGCGCUCGGUUGAAGAGGACGACCAUCCCCGAUAGAGGAGGACCAUUCUUUGGUCAAGUGUGUGUGAGUAGCUGCGCUCCCCUGCUAGAACCUCCAAACAAGCUCUCAAAAAGAAAAGUACUGCCUCCCCCCCAAAAAAGAGUUGCCAAUGUCUGUAAGUCAGUCUACUGAAAGACUGCAAGAUCUCUACGAAGAAAAGUACAAAACAUUAUAG
RNAcentral lists this small nuclear RNA (344 nucleotides) under Castor canadensis (American beaver). RNAcentral's name for it is "7SK RNA (ENSCCNG00000024585.1)". The stretch from base 1 to 300 matches the Rfam family "7SK RNA". Rfam says of the family: 7SK was discovered as an abundant small nuclear RNA in the mid-70s but a possible function has only recently been suggested. Two independent studies have found that 7SK RNA binds the CDK9/cyclin T complex (known as elongation factor P-TEFb). Lineage: Eukaryota; Metazoa; Chordata; Mammalia; Rodentia; Castoridae. The record is from RNAcentral.